CUCUCUAACCAUGCUGUACCCUACCGUGCUGAGACAAUCUGACUCUAGAACAGUAUUACACUAUUUCUAAAUGAAUGUUCAACAGUGAUUAUUGAUCUAUCUCUCCCUCUCGCUCUCUCUCUCUAUCUGCAAUCCUCACAGUUCACUAUCAGAUGGUAUGUAGACUGGUUGAAGGCAGCUACAGGCCUGUUUGAGGGACAACUGGACAGAACAUAUCAGAAUGCUUGGACCUCAGCUGAGACCCUCCUCUCCUUCCCCAUCCUUCAAGGAAAGCCACUUCUUUACACUUCCUGUUUGACAUGAUGCUCUCAAGGAUACAUUAGGGGAAGUUGCUUUGCUGUUGGCACCAAUCCCAUGAUGCCAGGCUGCCAGAAAACAUCAAUGACUUUAUCCCCCUCAUCCUAAACUUUGCUAACUCUUGUUCAACUGCUCUUUGAUUAAAUUGGUUUAAUUAAAUGUU
Long non-coding RNA from Coregonus clupeaformis (lake whitefish), 460 nucleotides. RefSeq lists it as uncharacterized. The record is from RefSeq and is a predicted model, not a curated record. Lineage: Eukaryota; Metazoa; Chordata; Actinopteri; Salmoniformes; Salmonidae. The transcript is spliced from 2 exons.